Molecule: long non-coding RNA, 842 nt
Filed under: Equus asinus (donkey)
Lineage: Eukaryota; Metazoa; Chordata; Mammalia; Perissodactyla; Equidae
Description: lncRNA (ENSEASG00005028176.1)
Source: RNAcentral
GGAAAACCCCAUGAGGCAACAGAGGAGCCCAGGGAAGACAGUGUUCCAGGAAAGAGGAAGAAGUCAAGAGCUCAGGGCUUCAAGUGACCACAGAAGUGAAGAACGUCCAAACCCUCUGGACUUCAUAGCAAGGAGGUCAUCGGCAACCCUGGCGAGAACGGCUUCAGGGCAGUUGGGGCGGAUUCAGAUUGCAUGGGAGUCACGAAAGCAGAGGCCCAGAGACGGUGGAAGGAAGUGAGACUGGACGCGGAACCUGUACUUUGAGACUCCAAACUCUGCUGUCUCCUUGCAGAGAGGACCCUCACAUUCCUGGGCUUCGAGGCGCUCAGUGGGCGGAUCUAGUGGUCAACAGUUGCCUCAGACUCCAGCAAAUCUCGCUUGACGGUGCAGCCUUCCAUGGCUCUUGCUCUGCUCGUCUCGGCCUCACUUGGCUCUGAAACCACAUCACCCCAGCUCCAAGCACGACUCAACCCUCUACCUGCUGUGUGACAUUGAGCAAGUUUAUUAAUCUCUGUGCUUCAGUUUCCUCACUUGCAAAAUGAGGAUAAUAAUAUUGUUAACACCUAAUCAAGCUGUUAUGAGGAUUAAGGAAUGAAGGAAAUCAUAAAAAGUGCUAGAUAGUUUCCUCCACAUAAGUCUUUCGUGGAUUUAUUCCUAGAUUCCUUACUUUUUUGUUACUACAAAUGAAAAAAUUAAAUUUCACUUUUUCUAACUACCAGUUGUUGGUAUAUGAAAAUACAACUUAUUUUGGUAUAUUGUAAAUUUAUUACUUUUAAUAGCUUAUAAAUUUCCUUAAAUUUUCUAUGUAUACGGCCAUGUCACACUUGACUGAUGACUCUUUC